AAUUCAAAACUGAAUAAUUUUUAUUGAAUUAUCCCGAUUACUUUGAUAUUUACUUUUUUUUUGUUUCUACCCAUGUAGUGUGGGGGGAAUACAUAAAUUUUUUUUUCUUAUCUUAGAUUAUCUUAGAUUUUGAACCUUUCUUUUAAUUCUUCGUUCUUUUUUUUUUCAUAUAGUCAUUCAAUAUUCAAUUCACAAUUACAGGAGAUGAAUCUUUCUUUUUUUUGAAUCCCCACCUAAAUUUAGAGUAGUAGCAGGACUAAUUUAGAUAGAUAGUCAUCUAUAACUAAUGAAUAUAUACUAUGACAUAUACGUGUGUUUGUUCUGUAGCGUAAACCAAUUAGUUGUAU
Molecule: long non-coding RNA, 347 nt
Filed under: Trifolium pratense (red clover)
Lineage: Eukaryota; Viridiplantae; Streptophyta; Magnoliopsida; Fabales; Fabaceae
Description: long non-coding RNA (TPRA_LNC009007)
Source: RNAcentral